UCGGCCCGUCAUAGCCUUCAUUUAGCCCAAAAAUAGACGUUGAAAAUUGGGCUUUGUUUGGUCCGUCCGAUUUGGUCCAAAUUUAGCCCAAACAUAGACGUUGAAAAUUGGUCUUUGUUUGGUCCGUCUGAUUUGGUCAAAAUUUAGCCCGAAAAUAGACGUUGAAAACUGGUCUCUAUUUGGUCCGUUUGGUUUGGUCCAAAUUUAGCCCAAAAGACUUUGAAAAAUGUCGCCUCCUUUGUUUGGUCCGUCUGAGGGCAGCGCCAGAUCAUUUUUAACAGGUGCUGAAGGGGUGCUAUCAUUGACAGGGGAGCUUCACAAUUAUAUAAAAAGGCUACUUUUAAUAAAUGAGCAAAACUUAGCCACUCAAUAUAUCAUAUUCAAUUAUUGUAAUUAUCACAAUUCAGGUUUUAAUUUAAAUUAAAAUAAGCACAACAUUCAACAUUCAAUCAAAUAUUCUUAUGUAGCCUAUUAAUAAUAAUGUAAUUUCCACACAAUAUCUUGUUAUUUCGACAUAAUAUGUGUGCGUGCAACAAGCAAGAUGUGCAUUUGUAAAUCCGGUGACACGCGUGCAUUGAUUUUUAUUGCAUUUUAUUUUUAUUAAUAAACUGUUUUCUGUGUCCGCUGCAAAAGAUGAAGUUGAAGAUCUCCAUCUCCGCAGCGAACGCGCCUUGAGAGAGAAAUGCACAAAAUGAUUACAUAAUCAGAGAGUACCUAUUUCUUUUCGUUUUGAAUUGUUUUGUUUAAAGAUAUUUCCAGCUCUCUAUAGAUAUGUCUCAUGUCUUUGAGACAUGCUGAGUUGUGGUAAGUUGAAAGGUAUUUUUUGUGCAUAGUAAAACAUAUCUGCAACAUUUAUCAAGUUCACGGAUAAUUGUGCGUGCAUUUAUUAAUCGUUAUGAUAGGCCUAAAAUCAUAAUAAAGGCUGUGUACAAAAAAUCAGAUGAGCCCAGAAUAUGAAUGCAACGCGUUUAAUUAGCCUACACAUUAAGCAUUUUCCUCCAAACCAGAACGCUUGGCCUGCGGACUUGAAUGUAUUUAAAAAAUACAUAGAAUAGUUUAUAAUUGUUCCUCAUGUUUCAUCUGUAAUCUGUGUAGGCUAUAUGAGGAAAUAUGUGCAUGCCUUAUGUAGGUUUUAAUCAAUGUUUUUGCAAAAAAAAAAAAAAAAAAAAAACAAUCUACAGCACGUUUACCAUUUUUUAAAGCUAUAUUAUAUUAUUAGACUAUUAGCCUACAUGACUUAAAACAUUGUUUUAUAGUUUGACGAUGGCCACAGGCCUACUAUCCACUUAAUAAUGCAUCAAGUUUCAGCUGAUUGUCAAAUAAUUCACUCCAUCUCAAUGCUGCGUAACUCUGCGUGUUUUAAUCAAUGGGCGCACGCGCUGAACAUUCGAGCCGCAUUUGAACUGGAGCAGACAACGUUACCAUGGAAACCGGGCGGUAGCUCAACUGACAACGAUCAGCACAGCUCCAUCUCUCGCUGUUGUUUUCACUACUUUCAGUAUUGUUAGCUCCAACCCCAAUUAAUCAGACCUGAGCAGCUGACUAAACAUCACCAGAAACUCUGCAGAACACUGGCCCUGGUCUGGUCUGGAUGCCACUGUUGCUAAAGCAUUUCAAGUAAAAACUUAAGUCGUGGCUUAAUAAUCCGGGGUUGGGAUGGUGGAAGGAGCAGAAGAACCAGAAGAUCGGAGAUCAGGAAGAUAUCUGUUGGUGCCUCUGAGGGAACUGAUUUAAUGU
Molecule: non-coding RNA, 1737 nt
Organism: Pimephales promelas (fathead minnow)
Lineage: Eukaryota; Metazoa; Chordata; Actinopteri; Cypriniformes; Leuciscidae
Source: RefSeq, a predicted model, not a curated record